CUGGCUCAGGAUGAACGCUAGCUACAGGCUUAACACAUGCAAGUCGAGGGGCAGCAUAAGCUUAGCUUGCUAAGUUGAUGGCGACCGGCGCACGGGUGAGUAACGCGUAUCCAACCUGGCCCAUAGUAGGGGAUAGCCCGGCGAAAGUCGGAUUAAUACCCUAUGUUAUCCGUUGAGGACAUCUGAGAUGGAUUAAAGAUUUAUCGCUAUGGGAUGGGGAUGCGUCUGAUUAGCUUGCCGGCGGGGUAACGGCCCACCGGGGCAUCGAUCAGUAGGGGUUCUGAGAGGAAGGUCCCCACAUUGGAACUGAGACACGGUCCAAACUCCUACGGGAGGCAGCAGUGAGGAAUAUUGGUCAAUGGUCGCAAGACUGAACCAGCCAAGUAGCGUGCAGGAAUGACGGCCCUAUGGGUUGUAAACUGCUUUUGCAGGGGAAUAAAGUGCGGCACGUGUGCUGUUUUGUAUGUACCCUGAGAAUAAGGACCGGCUAAUUCCGUGCCAGCAGCAGC
RNAcentral lists this ribosomal RNA (509 nucleotides) under uncultured bacterium. RNAcentral describes it as "bacterial SSU rRNA". It matches the Rfam family "Bacterial small subunit ribosomal RNA", at positions 19 to 518 of the family's 1533-position model. The record is from RNAcentral.